This 460-nucleotide ribosomal RNA is filed under the name uncultured bacterium. Its description in RNAcentral is "partial 16S ribosomal RNA". It matches the Rfam family "Bacterial small subunit ribosomal RNA", at positions 338 to 795 of the family's 1533-position model. The record is from RNAcentral.
CCUACGGGAGACAGCAGUGAGGAAUAUUGGUCAAUGGACGAGAGUCUGAACCAGCCAAGUAGCGUGAAGGAUGACUGCCCUAUGGGUUGUAAACUUCUUUUAUAUGGAAAUAAAAUGUUCCACGUGUGGGAUUUUGUAUGUACCAUAUGAAUAAGGAUCGGCUAACUCCGUGCCAGCAGCCGCGGUAAUACGGAGGAUCCGAGCGUUAUCCGGAUUUAUUGGGUUUAAAGGGAGCGUAGGUGGAUUGUUAAGUCAGUUGUGAAAGUUUGCGGCUCAACCGUAAAAUUGCAGUUGAAACUGGCAGUCUUGAGUACAGUAGAGGUGGGCGGAAUUCGUGGUGUAGCGGUGAAAUGCUUAGAUAUCACGAAGAACUCCGAUUGCGAAGGCAGUUCACUGGACUGCAACUGACACUGAGGCUCGAAAGUGUGGGUAUCAAACAGGAUUAGAUACCCGUGUAGUC